UAAUUUCUGUGUCAGUUUUGUCUCUUGUAGAGAGUUGUCUCAUUGGCAAUCAUACCAGAUCUAAUUUUUUUAUAUGUAAACAAUUGUUUUGAAAACAAAAUAUUUUAUUACUAAAUGCAAAAGCAUGUUUUUUUGUUUUUUUUAAUUGUCCGUGCAAAUUUAAUUUUUCCUAAGAAAGUUUGUCUUGUCAAAUGUGGUAGAAAUCAUUAUGUAACACUCUGUUUAAAGUCAGUACGUUGUUGCCGAUGUAAAAAGUGGUAUUAUUACCAAAUAAAGA
RNAcentral lists this long non-coding RNA (277 nucleotides) under Mytilus galloprovincialis (Mediterranean mussel). Lineage: Eukaryota; Metazoa; Mollusca; Bivalvia; Mytilida; Mytilidae. The record is from RNAcentral.